UUUUUUUUUUUUUUUUCUCUUCCUUCUUCCCUCCCUUUUUCCUUUUUCCUUUUCCCCUUCCCCCUACCUCUUAUUUUUUGAGACAGGGUCUAACAACUGUUGCUCAGGCUGGCGUGGGAACUUGUAGCCAGGCUGGACUCUCAGCACCCAGCCUCUUAGGGAAAGUUGAGAUUACAGGCAUGAACAUAUCAUUUCCCUCCCUGCCCCCCUGGGAUCAGGGUACAUACAAAAGCCCAGGUGUCACACAAAAGCUGGGAAGCCUGGUGCUGUAGUGUAGGGAAAACAGAGACAGGGAGGUCAGUGGGGUUUGCUAGUGUUAGCAGAGCUCCAGACUCGAUGAGAGACUCUUGUCUCAGAAUCCUAUUAGUGUGAUAGAGCGAGAGUAUGUGCACACACGCGUGCUUAUGUGUAUAUACACUGUGCACACGCACACACCAGAUUCAUACAUAGACAUAUGCGUGUGUACACACACUUGCACAGGAAAAAGAAAAAAAAAAGUAAUGUUGGGGGAAAGCAUCUGUAAUCCUCUGUUUUUUCAAGACAGGGUUUCUCUGUGCAGCCCUGGCUGUCCUGGAAUUCACUCUGUAGACCAGGCUGACCUCAAACUCAGAAAUCUGCCUGCCUCUGCCUCCCAAGCGCUGGGAUUAAAGGCGUGCGCCACCACUGCCCGGCCUGUAAUCCUCUGUUUAGUGAUGAUGGUACUUGGGGUGAACGCAGAGCCUUGCAUAUGUUAGGCAAGUGUUCUACCACAGUGCCACACUCUUGAACCUUGACCAGGCUGGCUGCAAACUUGUUAUUUUGUACCUUUCCUGGCCAGACAGCUGGGAUCACAGGCUUGUACUGUUGGACCCCACGCUUUCUUCCUUUUAAUGGCAUUUAAGGUGUUUAGGGUCUUUUAGGGAACGUAGGCAUACUCUGUCCUGAACCACCCUGCCAGUCCCGGAUUUAUUUACUUAUUUUUAAGUGUGUGUGUGUGUGUGUGUGAGUGUGCGUGUGAAUGCACAUGAGUGCAGGUACCCAAAGAAGACCAGAAGAGGAUGAGAGGGUGUCAGGUCCCCUGGUUCUGAAGUUGCAGGUGGUACUGAGCCACCCCGUAGGGUGCUGGGAAUUGAACCCAAGUCCCCUGCAAGAGCAGUGUGUGCUCUAAGUGCUGAGCCUCCUCUCCCACCCCUGCAGUUCAUCAUUUCAGUCAUUAAGACUGUAUAUUAUUUCAUCUGUUACUGUGAGCCAGGUGUGCUGACACACCUUUAAUCCCAGCAACUGGGAGGUAGAGGCAGGUGUCUCUCUUGUGAGUUUGAGGCCAGCCUGGUCUACAUAGUGAAUUCCAGGACAGCCAAGGCUAUGGCAGAGAGCCUGCCUAGGUGUGAUAGUGUAAUCAGGCCUUUAAAAAAAAAAAGAUUUAUUUAAUAUAUGAUUACGCUGUAUCUGUCUUCAGACACACUAGAAGAGGUCAUUGGAUCCCAUUACAGAUGGUUGUGAGCUACCAUGUGGUUGCUGGGAUUUGAACUCAGGACCUUCAGAAAAGUAGCCGGUUCUCUUAACCACUGAGCUAUCUCUCCAGCCCUGACCUGGCCCUUAAAGUGAGCUUUUUUCCUUAAAGAUAUAAGGCACAAUAUGUUUGAGACAUGUUUACAUGCUAUAGAGUGCACUCCUUUCAAGUAAGGACUUGAAGGGGUUACAAAUGUAUCUCCCGUGUAUCCACCCCCCAUGGAAAGCACGGGAUCUUUCUGCCUUCAGAGGCUCCUGGGAUGUUUCACUCUCCCUAGUGCCCAGCCCCCAGGCCACCUCAGUUGUGCUUCUUAUCCUUGCAGGUUAUCCAGCCGCCUUUCUAGACCUUUAUAGACUGGGAGCUACUGGAUAGUUACUGGAGGGUUUAAUGCUUCCUCCCUGGUCCGAUAUCCAGUGUGUUUCUUUGUUCUUUCUUUGUUAACCACUGUUCAGAGCUCCAGGGUGAGAAAGGACUCAUUAUUAUUUUUUGUCUCCUCUUAGUUUCCUGUUCCCCUGUUUGAUAUUUUAACUCAUUUACAGACAAAGGUUUCAUUUUUAUUGAUGGAGUUUGGAGAAUAAAUAAAUGAAAAAUAAAUCCUAUCCC
RNAcentral lists this long non-coding RNA (2092 nucleotides) under Mus musculus (house mouse). RNAcentral describes it as "long non-coding RNA chr4:32998416-33000508". Lineage: Eukaryota; Metazoa; Chordata; Mammalia; Rodentia; Muridae. The record is from RNAcentral.